GCUUUUGGGAUAUAUUUUUCAACAAAUCUGUUCCUACCAUGUCGUAUGAGAUAUGGUACAAUAAGAAGCCAAGUCUAAAUUAUCUUAAGACUUAGGGAUAUUCAGCCUAUGUCAAGAGAUAGAUGACUGAUAAAUUAGAGGAUAGAUCUGUCAUAGCUCAUUUUAUAGGGUAUCCAAAAAAAUCAAUGGGGUACUACUUCUACUUUU
Molecule: long non-coding RNA, 207 nt
Filed under: Elaeis guineensis (African oil palm)
Lineage: Eukaryota; Viridiplantae; Streptophyta; Magnoliopsida; Arecales; Arecaceae
Description: long non-coding RNA (EGUI_LNC053266)
Source: RNAcentral